GUGAUAAACUUAUUGAAUGACCGAUCUCCAUCGCAUAUUAAGAUAUAUACUUAAUAAUCACAAAUUUAGAUUGACAUUUUAUACUUAUUAAGUUCAUAAAUAUAAAACAAACUUAUUUUAAGUGGGAUCUAGUCAUACCAUAUGCAAAUCAAAUGCCUCAUGAUCAAGUAUAACCAUUAGACUUGUUGACUUGACGAAUGGAUCGACAAGAUUUAUAUCGAUGUAACUCUAUUGACUGAUGCCUUCACAUUUGAGCAACUAUUAGAUGUGAUGGUAGUUGUUGAGUAUCAUGUGAGCUUGCAUGACUUUGUGAAUGGAUCGACAAGAUUUAUAUCGAUGUGACUCUAUUGACUGAUGUCUUCACAUUUGAGCAACUAUUAGAUGUGAUGGUAGUUGCUGCGUAUCAUGUGAGCUUGCAGCUUGCAUGACUUUGUGAUCCAUACUUGAGGUAAGUUCAUCAUUUCAAUCACAAAAACCUUCAAAAUGAUCAUAAAUGAUCGAAAGAAAUUCAUUAUUUACAUGUGCUUCGAAUUUCAAUCAUUCAUUAUUUACAUUUGUUUUGAAUUUCAAUCAUUCAUAUAGCUUCCUUUGCAUCAUUAUUUACAUUUGUUUUGAAUUUCAAUCAUUCAUAUAGCUUCCUUUGCAGCCAAACUAGAUGCAACUCUAAGUUUAUUCUCAAAUCCAUUAUAAUGUAUUACUUGGUAGUCUCCAAUAAAUUAUUUAUAAAUUUCAACUACCAACGAAAUUGUCUUUGUUAGUUUGAAACUUAUGUAACCCUUACAAGUUACAAUGAAUUCUUUCAUACUACAAUCAUGUCCUUUGUCCUCCUAUGACACUAAGGAACAUACUCAAUAUUGAUUUGUUAAUUCUUGUCAAGUUGAUCCUAUCUAACCUGUUAUGCUCAAGAUAUUAAAGUCAUUGAUCCUAUCUAACCUGUGUUAUGCUCAAGAUAUUAAAGUCAUUGAUCCUAUCUAACCUGUUAUGCUAAGGACAUAUAAGUCAUUGGAUCUGGUAUAUGUCAUGGCUCUUUUAGCUCAAUACCAGAAUUAGGACAUUAGCUCAAUGUCGAGUCAUAAUUUAUGAACUAUUUCGAGUUUUCUCGAGACAUCUUGUACUUUAGCUUAUCCUAAUGAAUUAGGAUAGAUCUAUCUGCAUAAAUUAACACAUUCACUAUGUGUAUUGUUUCUCCCACUAACAUUGUAACACACAUGGCUCAUUUUUGUUUCUUGCAUUAGCAUAUAGAAUAUCAUCAUUUCUUGAAAUUCAAACAUUUUGAAGUUUUAAUCGGAACAAAGAUACUAAUUGCUCCAACUCUCAUUAACACACACAAAAGGUCCAUGUUCAAAAAACUAAUUUACAGACAUGUACAAAAAGUAAGUGUCUUUGUUACAAGUUUAUACAAGAUUAACAAGUGUAAAAGUAAAAGGCACAACAAUUGGGUUAAUUCUUAGUGUUGCAAACAUGGUUGUCUAAGAUAACUAAUCUUUUCAAACAAUGCAAGUGAAAAAACGUAAUUUUAUUAGAAUUUAAUCAUUUUUUUAGCUGACAAAAUGCAAUACAGCUAUUAACAGGGACUAUUUGAUACGAAAAAAAGAUUCAUAAAAACAUGAAAUAAUGUUAUUCUCAUGGCCAAUCCCAAGAGGUAAUUGCAGAGACUCCGCUCCUCAAGGCGAUAGGAUAUGACAAGUCCCAAAAGACAUUCAUCCAUGGGAUCCUUCACCUCAUACAAAGCAAAGGCUCAACCAUUCAAAAUGUCAAGGGAUCAAUCUUCGACGAUUUAUUUCAUUUGAGUUUUGCGAAGACGUAAAAACAUCGCCCCAAUUUUGUUUAAAUCGUCGAAAAAAAUUUCAAUCACAAACAUUUGUUGAAAAAUAGUAUUACUAGCAAAUGGAAAUAAAACAACAAAUCGAUUUGAAAUUUGGAAAGUGUUGAAUAAGAAGAUCUUCAGUUCAGGUCUCCAAUAAUUGUUUCCGCAUGGAUGUUAUCCUCGGAAGAACGAAAGUAUUAUCUGAAUCAUCAUAAGAGUCGUUCAAAAACGAAAAUCGAAAAGAUAUUUACAAAUUGAGGAAAAAUAAUCAAAAUCAAACAUGAAUUUAUUCUGCGUCUCUUCAGUUCAGGUCUCCAAAAACUUUCAGCAUGGUUAAUCUCAGAAGAACGAAAGUUAUUAAAUUUGAUUCAUCAUAAGAGACGCAGAAAACUAUUACAUAAAACAAGAAGAAUAGAAGGAUUUAUGAACAAUGAUAAAGCGAAACCUGACGACUAACGAGAUUUGGUUGAGCAUUUCGCAGCUCAUUAAGGCGAAAGAGAUAAGAACGAUGGAGGAUAUACCUGAAUGGAGGAGUGACGACCGCUUUAUAGAGCAAAACCCUAAAAUUGAAAUGCGAUUCAGGGGUUUUAGGGGUUUUAGGGUUUUGAAAGGGGAUUACAGCCGUGAUGGGCUAAGGUUACG
Molecule: long non-coding RNA, 2449 nt
Filed under: Lactuca sativa (garden lettuce)
Lineage: Eukaryota; Viridiplantae; Streptophyta; Magnoliopsida; Asterales; Asteraceae
Description: long non-coding RNA (LSAT_LNC003361)
Source: RNAcentral